RNAcentral lists this ribosomal RNA (426 nucleotides) under TM7 phylum sp. oral taxon 346. Its description in RNAcentral is "bacterial SSU rRNA". It matches the Rfam family "Bacterial small subunit ribosomal RNA", at positions 28 to 482 of the family's 1533-position model. The record is from RNAcentral. Lineage: Bacteria; Candidatus Saccharimonadota.
GAUGAACGCUGGCGGCGUGCCUAACACAUGCAAGUCGAGCGGCAGCGCGAGUAGUUUACUACUUGGCGGCGAGCGGCGAACGGUUGAGUAACGCGUGGGAAUUUGCCCCAAAGUGAGGAAUAACUGCCCGAAAGGGUGGCUAAUGCCGCAUAUGAUCUUCGGAUUAAAGGAUUUAUCCGCUUUGGGAGAAGCCCGCGUCGGAUUAGGUAGUUGGUGAGGUAAUAGCUCACCAAGCCGACGAUCCGUAGCUGGUCUGAGAGGAUGACCAGCCAGACUGGAACUGAGACACGGUCCAGACUCCUACGGGAGGCAGCAGUGAGGAAUCUUCCACAAUGGGCGAAAGCCUGAUGGAGCAACGCCGCGUGCAGGAUGAAGGCCUUCGGGUUGUAAACUGCUUUUAUAAGUGAGGAAUAUGACGGUAGCUUA